This 791-nucleotide ribosomal RNA is filed under the name Bacillus sp. H-S1-22. Its description in RNAcentral is "bacterial SSU rRNA". It matches the Rfam family "Bacterial small subunit ribosomal RNA", at positions 155 to 931 of the family's 1533-position model. Lineage: Bacteria; Bacillati; Bacillota; Bacilli; Caryophanales; Bacillaceae. The record is from RNAcentral.
AACCGGAGCUAAUACCGGAUAAUCCUUUCCCUCUCAUGAGGGAAAGCUGAAAGACGGUUUCGGCUGUCACUUACAGAUGGGCCCGCGGCGCAUUAGCUAGUUGGUGAGGUAACGGCUCACCAAGGCAACGAUGCGUAGCCGACCUGAGAGGGUGAUCGGCCACACUGGGACUGAGACACGGCCCAGACUCCUACGGGAGGCAGCAGUAGGGAAUCUUCCGCAAUGGACGAAAGUCUGACGGAGCAACGCCGCGUGAACGAUGAAGGCCUUCGGGUCGUAAAGUUCUGUUGUCAGGGAAGAACAAGUAUCGGAGUAACUGCCGGUACCUUGACGGUACCUGACCAGAAAGCCACGGCUAACUACGUGCCAGCAGCCGCGGUAAUACGUAGGUGGCAAGCGUUGUCCGGAAUUAUUGGGCGUAAAGCGCGCGCAGGCGGUUCCUUAAGUCUGAUGUGAAAGCCCCCGGCUCAACCGGGGAGGGUCAUUGGAAACUGGGGAACUUGAGUGCAGAAGAGGAGAGCGGAAUUCCACGUGUAGCGGUGAAAUGCGUAGAGAUGUGGAGGAACACCAGUGGCGAAGGCGGCUCUCUGGUCUGUAACUGACGCUGAGGCGCGAAAGCGUGGGGAGCGAACAGGAUUAGAUACCCUGGUAGUCCACGCCGUAAACGAUGAGUGCUAAGUGUUAGAGGGUUUCCGCCCUUUAGUGCUGCAGCAAACGCAUUAAGCACUCCGCCUGGGGAGUACGGCCGCAAGGCUGAAACUCAAAGGAAUUGACGGGGGCCCGCACAAGCG